AUACGGAGGGUGCAAGCGUUACUCGGAAUCACUGGGCGUAAAGCGCAUGCAGGCGGUCAGAUAAGUUAGAAGUGAAAUCCUAUAGCUCAGCUAUAGAACUGCUUCUAAAACUGUUUGACUAGAGUCUGGGAGGGGAAGAUGGAAUUAGUAGUGUAGGGGUAAAAUCCGUAGAGAUUACUAGGAAUACCAAAAGCGAAGGCGAUCUUCUGGAACAGUACUGACGCUGAGAUGCGAAAGCGUGGGGAGCAAACAGGAUUAGAAACCCUAGUAGUCC
RNAcentral lists this ribosomal RNA (274 nucleotides) under uncultured bacterium. RNAcentral's name for it is "partial 16S ribosomal RNA". It matches the Rfam family "Bacterial small subunit ribosomal RNA", at positions 523 to 796 of the family's 1533-position model. The record is from RNAcentral.